GAUGAACGCUGGCGGUAUGCUUAACACAUGCAAGUCGAACGGGGUGCAUAGUCACCUAGUGGCGGACGGGUGAGUAACGCGUGAGAAUCUGGCCUCAGGUCCGGGACAACCACGGGAAACGGUGGCUAAUACCGGAUGUGCCAUAUUGGUGAAAGAUUAAUUGCCUGAGGAUGAGCUCGCGUCUGAUUAGCUAGUUGGUGGGGUAAAGGCUUACCAAGGCGACGAUCAGUAACUGGUCUGAGAGGAUGACCAGUCACACUGGGACUGAGACACGGCCCAGACUCCUACGGGAGGCAGCAGUGGGGAAUUUUCCGCAAUGGGCGAAAGCCUGACGGAGCAAUACCGCGUGAGGGAGGAAGGCUCUUGGGUUGUAAACCUCUUUUCUCAGGGAAGAAGAAUGACGGUACCUGAGGAAUCAGCAGCGGCUAACUCCGUG
This 436-nucleotide ribosomal RNA is filed under the name uncultured bacterium. RNAcentral describes it as "partial 16S ribosomal RNA". It matches the Rfam family "Bacterial small subunit ribosomal RNA", at positions 28 to 507 of the family's 1533-position model. The record is from RNAcentral.